Molecule: ribosomal RNA, 772 nt
Filed under: Limosilactobacillus fermentum
Lineage: Bacteria; Bacillati; Bacillota; Bacilli; Lactobacillales; Lactobacillaceae
Description: bacterial SSU rRNA
Rfam family: Bacterial small subunit ribosomal RNA
Source: RNAcentral
GUGCUUGCACCUGAUUGAUUUUGGUCGCCAACGAGUGGCGGACGGGUGAGUAACACGUAGGUAACCUGCCCAGAAGCGGGGGACAACAUUUGGAAACAGAUGCUAAUACCGCAUAACAACGUUGUUCGCAUGAACAACGCUUAAAAGAUGGCUUCUCGCUAUCACUUCUGGAUGGACCUGCGGUGCAUUAGCUUGUUGGUGGGGUAAUGGCCUACCAAGGCGAUGAUGCAUAGCCGAGUUGAGAGACUGAUCGGCCACAAUGGGACUGAGACACGGCCCAUACUCCUACGGGAGGCAGCAGUAGGGAAUCUUCCACAAUGGGCGCAAGCCUGAUGGAGCAACACCGCGUGAGUGAAGAAGGGUUUCGGCUCGUAAAGCUCUGUUGUUAAAGAAGAACACGUAUGAGAGUAACUGUUCAUACGUUGACGGUAUUUAACCAGAAAGUCACGGCUAACUACGUGCCAGCAGCCGCGGUAAUACGUAGGUGGCAAGCGUUAUCCGGAUUUAUUGGGCGUAAAGAGAGUGCAGGCGGUUUUCUAAGUCUGAUGUGAAAGCCUUCGGCUUAACCGGAGAAGUGCAUCGGAAACUGGAUAACUUGAGUGCAGAAGAGGGUAGUGGAACUCCAUGUGUAGCGGUGGAAUGCGUAGAUAUAUGGAAGAACACCAGUGGCGAAGGCGGCUACCUGGUCUGCAACUGACGCUGAGACUCGAAAGCAUGGGUAGCGAACAGGAUUAGAUACCCUGGUAGUCCAUGCCGUAAACGAUGAGUGCUA